GGGAAAGAUUUAUCGCUAAUGGAUGAGCCCGCGUGAGAUUAGGUAGUUGGUGGGGUAAUGGCCUACCAAGCCGACGAUCUCUAGCUGGUCUGAGAGGAUGAUCAGCCACACUGGAACUGAGACACGGCCCAGACUCCUACGGGAGGCAGCAGUGGGGAAUAUUGGACAAUGGGGGAAACCCUGAUCCAGCCAUGCCGCGUGAAUGAUGAAGGCCUUAGGGUUGUAAAGUUCUUUCGUUGGUGAAGAUAAUGACGGUAACCAAAGAAGAAGCCCCGGCUAACUUCGUGCCAGCAGCCGCGGUAAUACGAAGGGGGCUAGCGUUGUUCGGAAUCACUGGGCGUAAAGCGCGCGUAGGCGGUCUAGCAAGUCAGAGGUGAAAGCCUGGAGCUUAACUCCAGAACUGCCUUUGAAACUGCUAGACUGGAAUCUUGGAGGGGGUAGUGGAAUUCCUAGUGUAGAGGUGAAAUUCGUAGAUACUAGGAGGAACACCGGUGGCGAAGGCGGCUACCUGGACAAGUAUUGACGCUGAGGCGCGAAAGCGUGGGGAGCAAACAGGAUUAGAUACCCU
RNAcentral lists this ribosomal RNA (568 nucleotides) under uncultured bacterium. RNAcentral's name for it is "bacterial SSU rRNA". It matches the Rfam family "Bacterial small subunit ribosomal RNA", at positions 200 to 788 of the family's 1533-position model. The record is from RNAcentral.